RNAcentral lists this ribosomal RNA (113 nucleotides) under Chinchilla lanigera (long-tailed chinchilla). The record is from RNAcentral. Lineage: Eukaryota; Metazoa; Chordata; Mammalia; Rodentia; Chinchillidae.
GUCUACCGCCAUACUACCCUGAACGCGCCCGAUCUCGUCUGAUCUCGGAAGCUAAGCAGGAUAGGGCCUGGUUAGUGCUUGGAUGGGAGUAUUUUCCAGGCAACUGUUAGUCA